AACUUUCAACAAAGGAUCUCUUGGCUCUCGCAUCGAUGAAGAACGCAGCGAAGCGCGAAAUGUAGUGUGAAUCGCAGAACAUUGUGAAUCAUCGAAUCUUUGAACGCACAUUGCGCCUCUCUUAACAGGGAGGCAUGCCUGUCUGAGUUUCAUUU
RNAcentral lists this ribosomal RNA (155 nucleotides) under uncultured fungus. Its description in RNAcentral is "5.8S ribosomal RNA". It matches the Rfam family "5.8S ribosomal RNA". Rfam says of the family: 5.8S ribosomal RNA (5.8S rRNA) is a component of the large subunit of the eukaryotic ribosome. It is transcribed by RNA polymerase I as part of the 45S precursor that also contains 18S and 28S rRNA. Lineage: Eukaryota; Fungi. The record is from RNAcentral.